CACGUAGGAGGCGAGCGUUGUCCGGAAUCAUUGGGCGUAAAGAGCGCGCAGGCGGCUUGGCAAGUCGGGUGUGAAAUCCCGGGGCUCAACCCCGGGACUGCAUUCGAUACUGUCAGGCUAGAGGUAGGUAGGGGAGAUCGGAAUUCCUGGUGUAGCGGUGAAAUGCGCAGAUAUCAGGAGGAACACCGAUGGCGAAGGCAGGUCUCUGGAACGGUACUGACGCUGAGACGCGAAAGCGUGGGGAGCGAACAGG
Molecule: ribosomal RNA, 253 nt
Filed under: uncultured bacterium
Lineage: Bacteria
Description: partial 16S ribosomal RNA
Rfam family: Bacterial small subunit ribosomal RNA
Source: RNAcentral